Sphaerodactylus townsendi is the source of this 1982-nucleotide long non-coding RNA. RefSeq lists it as uncharacterized. Lineage: Eukaryota; Metazoa; Chordata; Lepidosauria; Squamata; Sphaerodactylidae. The transcript has 3 exons. The record is from RefSeq and is a predicted model, not a curated record.
AUGCGUUCUGGUCAGCGGAGGGGAGUCCUGUUGCCGCCACCACGGGCCCAUCGCGGCUCCCGUAGAAUCCAGGCGCCAAGUCCGAUUGGUCGGGCGCACCAAAACAAGGGGCAUCACGUCACCUGCAGGGGGGGAAAGCUGCGGCGUGAAAAGAAGGACGUGCGAAGGGGAGGGGCCGCGCGAGAGAAUCCCAGGAGCGGCGCGUGCCCCCCGCUGGUGUCAGUGACGCCCAGCCCCAGUGGGCGCCCGCCGAAUCGCCCCCCCCCCCGCCUCUCCUCUCUAUCGUCCCGGGGGGAUUCCACCUGCCACCGCCAGACACGCGCCUCGCAUCGGCCGCGGAGGGAGGAGCGAGCUGUCACCAGCACCACGGCACCUGCUGUUGCUGCAAGCCCCGCUCAGUCAGGAUGACGGACAAAGUGCCUUGGAAUGCUUGUAAUCAAUGAACUGAUAUUCAAGAAAGAAGAAAUGUCAUAAGUAAUGUUCACUCAUUCACUCCUUUGGAAAUGUUUCAUUUUUAAUAGUUUCUUCGUUCUGCUGUUGUGCAUAUUUGAUAGCAAUGAAUGACAUGCGGAUGGACUGAAGGACAAUAUAGAAGUUCUCUCUGAAUGGUAAAGAAUGUGGAUACCCAAACAGGCUGAGUUCUGAACAUAAAUGACGCUUGUUUUGAUCAGACUUUGGUUCCACCUAUCUCAGUAAUGAAUGAUUAGCAGCUACUUUACAGGAUCUCCUAUAGAGAAUGGCCUUUUCCAGCAUCUGCUACCUGAGAUCCGGUACCUAAAGAUGCCAGGGAUUGAACCUUCUGAAUGAAAAACAUAUGUUCCAAUAUAGAGCCAGCCCCUACCCUUCUAUGUGUACAUUGAAACAGCCACGGUGACACAGAAAUCACUACCACCAAGAAUCUGUAUGUUUGCUAUUAUUUACAUUUUUUAAGGGAAAUCAUAUUAGCCUGCUAAAAUAAUGAAGAAAAUUCUAGAACUUUAAAGAGGAACAGAUUUAUUGGGGCACAAGGUUUCAUGGAACAUUUUUAAUGUAUGUGAUAAGGGGGCUGUAGUCUUGAAAAUAUGUGUCUCAAUAAAUGUGUUAGUCUUUAAGAUAUCAUAAGACUAAUAAUGCUGUAUUCUACCUCUGUAAACAUAAUCAUAACAUCCACAUUAAAAAUGGAAUUUUGUGAAUACUUAGUGUUACAGAACACAAUAGCUGAAUCUGUGUUUUCCCAUACUUGGUCUGGUUGCUUCUUCAACUGUCACACUACAACUACAGCUGAGCUAUAGUAGGACACAUUUUUGCUAAUACUGCUUGUAAUUCAAAACCAAAUCUGGGCCCAACCUUCUUGAUAACUUUUUGAUGUUGCUUUCCAGCAAAAAUAAAGAUUUCUUGCCAUCUUUUCCUUCAAACAUAGCAGUUGUCAACUCAUUCCUACCCUUAGUGAAUUAUGUAUUAAGAUAUUUAUGCCAUACAAUACACAUAUAUUAGACAUGCAAUCAACUUUGUGCCCAAUGGCCACCCACAAAAAUGUUUAAUUAUUUUGAUUCCUAAUCGCCGUGUACAGAUGUUAAGGGCCUGUAAGAAAAAUCUAUGAUGGGGGGUUGUAUUCUCAGUUCUAGAUGACUAGCAUAAAAAUUCCCCUUUGCUUGUUGUCAGAAGCCAUUACAAGUGGAAAGAAGGGGGUGCCUAAAAUCCUAUAAAUCUCGCAUUUGUCCUCAAAAGAUUUCAAGAUGGCCCCCAUUAAGAACCGUUUCCUUAGUUGCCUUUUGAACUGAAGAAAGUAAUAAUUAAAACCAGUAAUAUGAUUAUUUAUAUUAACCGCAAUCUUAGCUCAGCAACAGCCUCCCAGAACAACAUGAAGAGGGAGUCUUUCUGCCUGGUUUAUGGGCCUACUUUACAAAUGUGGUUGUAAAUAUUAUGAUAAUAACAUGUCUUACAGGACUUUGAGCACCUAGUAAAAAUGUUAUAUACUAAAUAAAGGCUGCCAAUCACCUGGA